AACGAACGCUGGCGGCGCGUCUUAAACAUGCAAGUCGAACGGCAGGAAGGGGCUUGCCCCUUCUGAGAGUGGCGGACUGGUGAGUAACACGUGGGUGACAUACCUUUUAGUUGGGGAUAGCUAUUAGAAAUAGUAGGUAAUACCGAAUGUGACCGUACCUGUUAGAGGGGUACGAGGAAAGGAGCUAAGGCUUCGCUAAAAGAAUGGCUCGCGGCCCAUUAUGCUCGUUGGUGAGGUAACGGCCCACCAAGGCGAGGAUGGGUAUCCGGCCUGAGAGGGUGAACGGACACAUUGGGACUGAGAUACGGCCCAGACUUCUACGGGAGGCAGCAGUUAAGAAUAUUCCGCAAUGGACGAAAGUCUGACGGAGCGACGCCGCGUGGAUGAAGAAUGCCGAAAGGUUGUAAAAUCCUUUUAAGCCUGAUGAAUAAGCACAGUAGGGAAUGAUUGUGCGGUGACCGUAGGGCUUGAAUAAGCACCGGCUAAUUACGUG
RNAcentral lists this ribosomal RNA (493 nucleotides) under uncultured bacterium. Its description in RNAcentral is "partial 16S ribosomal RNA". It matches the Rfam family "Bacterial small subunit ribosomal RNA", at positions 29 to 507 of the family's 1533-position model. The record is from RNAcentral.